CUGAACUUUUUCUUUUCCCUAUGGCACUCGGCCUCCAUGCUCUGCAAAUCAAGUAGUUUCCCAUGCCCCAUCUGGGUAGGGAGGACUUCCUUCACUUCCCUGUCCAAUUAAGUGGAUUGCCCUCCUCCCUUGCUAGUGGGGCUUUUGUGCAUAAAUAACUUGCUUUUGGUUUUGCAGUAGAUCUAGCUCUUUUGGUGAGGUUUCAUUUGUGAUCUACCUAGAGUGUGCUUGGUUAGUGUUGUGUUGGGUUUUGCAUGCAGGGAUGGGGAUCAUUCAACGAGAGUUUCUUCGCUGUCUUGUAACCAUGUCUUCGG
RNAcentral lists this unclassified non-coding RNA (314 nucleotides) under Hevea brasiliensis (rubber tree). Lineage: Eukaryota; Viridiplantae; Streptophyta; Magnoliopsida; Malpighiales; Euphorbiaceae. The record is from RNAcentral.